CCCUAACACUCCCUACACCUACAAUUGCUUAUUCAGUGUCUCUCUUCUCUCCCAGAAUAUAAGCUCCAUGAAGCUUUUUUCCCAGCACCAGCCUACAGACCCUUUACAUCUGAUAUGUGUCCACCCAGAGACUUGGCUUUUUCGUAGCUACAGUAGGUGAUGCAACUGCAUCCUGUCCAUGUUCAGAUUCAGGCUCCAAGAUCCAUCUUCUGCCAGAAGCCAUCAUUCACAAGGGAUGGAGCCCACAGGAUGAUGGCUUGCCCUGGAGGAGAGGAAGAAAUCUGCCAAAAAAAAAAAAAAAAAAGGAACCAAAGGGCCUUGAGUGAGAAAUUGACAGGUGCAGAAGUUAUGCAACAUACUCAAAGACACACAGCAAGUAAAUGGUGAAGCUGGAAUUUGAACUCAAAUUUAUCUGACUGUCAAGCCCAUGCUGGUCCUUCAGGCUGUGUCAGGUUUCCAAACUUCUGGGGUGGGGAAUGGAUCCCAUGUCACUUGACUUCCAAAUUUCCCAGGCAGGAUAACUUUAUGGAGAAGACACCUAUGGAGACCACAAAGCCAACAUGGUCUAUGCCAGAGAUUGAACCAUUAAAGGUUGCAAGCUUUAUCUUUGUGU
This is a long non-coding RNA of Panthera uncia (snow leopard), 613 nucleotides long. RefSeq lists it as uncharacterized. The transcript has 5 exons. NCBI's taxonomy places the organism in Eukaryota, Metazoa, Chordata, Mammalia, Carnivora, Felidae. The record is from RefSeq and is a predicted model, not a curated record.